UUCCCAGGUCGUCCUCUCCAAACAACACAAACCCAUUUGGAUCGACGUUUUGUUUUGGACUGCAGCGGAUGAUCUUUGAGGUGAUGCAGAACAAUCACAUUGCGUCCGUAACUCUGUACGGCCCCGCAAGGCCCAGCGGCCAGUUGAAAACGGUGGAUCUCCCCCAGUGAGCAAUAUGGGCUAACCGAAAUGCUACCAAUUUAGUAGUACAGCGUGCCUUGAUUUGCUACCACUUAGAGUAUGGGAAAAGAAGCACGGUAUGGUUGGAUAUAUAUGUGUGUAUAUGUGUGUAUGUGUCUAUAUAUGUGUGUCUUCAAUACAAAAACCCUGUUUGUCCCCUCCCGGGCAUGGAGGAGAACAGGGGAUUCCUCUUGACGGUCCGUUGCAUGGGACGAGUGGCGGCUGUGAGCGGAUACGAGUGCCUGCCACACGACCGGCGUUUCUCUCCUUAGCUGCACAUGUCCUCUAUUCCAACAUGGGAGAUUUAGGACUGGUCUGGUUUAUUUCCCUGAGCCGGAAGAAGGCCGAGCUUAAAAGAAGAGGGCACACAAAUGACUGCACGACUUAGAAGCACAAACUCUCUGAGCCUUGGGGCGUCUGGGAGCAGGUCUUGGAUCUAAUUAUACAUGUUUAUGUAGAUAUAUAUUAUUUUUCCCCCCAGUCUGUGCUUGUGUUAUCUGCAAUGAUAAUGGUGGUCGAUUUUUUUAAAGGUAAAAUUGGGUGCGCUUAUGCACAUGCAGAAUUUAUACAUUGAUGUAUAUAUAUAUAUAUAAAGAAAUUAAGUACUUGGGUAUUUCUGUGGCUUAAGGACAUUGUACCAAAUAUGACACGUAUGUACAUAUAACAUGUCCGUGAUUUCAGGCACCACAUGUUUGCCUGACGUGGAAACUAGCGCAAAGCAGCAUGUGCGUCAGGCUCGGUUGUAACAUUUGUUUUGCACUACAUACACUUUAAUUACUUGAUAUAAGGCAUUUUAAUCCUUCACUGAAGAGCAUCGGUGUACUGGGUGUGCUGGUUUAUUUAAUUGUUCGCCAUGCGCAAAGCUUAUUUAUACCGUGGGGAAGGAAAACCCACCUUUUCUGCACUAAUAUUUACUUGACAUGCUGAAGCGACUCAUUUUCUGCCAUGCCUGGUUAACAUACUUGUGGUUUUAUACAUACACAGAGAGAUGUAGGUUUCCAAAAGGAAAAAUGGAAGUCAAUUGAAUUCCUAUAAAUUACGGUUUUGAUGCCAUUUCCCCCUACACACACAAACACACACUUUUUGUACUUUUGCCUCACUUUUGCAAUGGUUUCACGUAUAUCGGAUGAGUACUUCCCAUGUUCCUUUCUUAUAAAGGAGUCUUUGGUGUUGGAACACUUGGAGUACAGUUUUCAUAGCAUCGAUUCAACACCAAGAUAAUGUUGAAGGAAACGGCCUUGUCGUAAGGCAGGCCUGAAUGUCUUGGCAGGAAUGAGGGGCCGAAAUUAAAAUGGCCUCAACCUCUUUAGCACCUCGCUUCAGGUUUUCGAGAGGGCACCUUUCCUUCAAAUCGAGCCACAAAGCGGAUUUGCCUCAACUUCCUCAGCUUUCCCUCAAUGUUGUGGUGAGUUGUAGUUCUUUUCUGCGGGAAAGAAGUGCCUCAGCUCUUGCCUCCGCUGCUCUUUCUUUUUCUUUGCCUCUGGGUUGCCUCCUUCGUCUCCUCCUUCUGUGGAAGGAAUAAUCGCCGAUUUACCUCAUUUGUGAGGGAGAAACUUAGGACUUCAUCACACGCGAUAAGUAAAGCGUUGGGGAUUGUUGUUUUCCCCUAAUCGCCAAUUUCCCUCAUUUGUGAGGGAGAAACUUAGGACUUCAUCCCAUGCGAUAAAUAAAGCAUUGGGGAUCGUUGUUUUCCCCUAAUCGCCAAUUCCCCUCAUUUGUGAGGGAGAAACUUAGGACUUCAUCUCACAUGAUAAGUAAAGCGUUGGGGAUCGUUGUUUUUCCCUAAUCGCCAAUUUCCCUCAUUUGUGAGGGAGAAACUUAGGACUUCAUCCCACACGAUAAGUAAAGCGUUGGGGAUCGUUGUUUUUCCCUAAUCGCCAAUUUCCCUCAUUUGUGAGGGAGAAACUUAGGACUUCAUCCCACACGAAAAGUAAAACGUUGGGGAUCGUUGUUUUCCCCUAAUCGCCAAUUUCCCUCAUUUGUGAAGGAGAAACGUAGGACUUCAUCCCACCUGAUAAGUAAAGCGUUGGGGAUUGUUGUUUUUCCCUAAUCACCAAUUUCCCUCAUUUGUGAGGGAGAAACUUAGGACUUCAUCCCACACGAUAAGUAAAGCGUUGGGGAUCGUUGUUUUUCCCUAAUCGCCAAUUUCCCUCAUUUGUGAGGGAGAAACUUAGGACUUCAUCCCACACGAUAAGUAAAGCGUUGGGGAUCGUUGUUUUUCCCUAAUCACCAAUUUCCCUCAUUUGUGAGGGAGAAACUUAAGACUUCAUCCCAC
This is a non-coding RNA of Anolis sagrei ordinatus, 2455 nucleotides long. NCBI's taxonomy places the organism in Eukaryota, Metazoa, Chordata, Lepidosauria, Squamata, Anolidae. The record is from RefSeq and is a predicted model, not a curated record.